GGAGUUAGCCGGUGCUUCUUCUGUGAGUGAUGUCCUUCCUGCCGGCUAUUAACCCGCAGGCCUUCUUCCUCACUGAAAGUGCUUUACAACCCGAAGGCCUUCUUCACACACGCGGCAUGGCUGGAUCAGGGUUGCCCCCAUUGUCCAAUAUUCCCCACUGCUGCCUCCCGUAGGAGUCUGGGCCGUGUCUCAGUCCCAGUGUGGCUGAUCAUCCUCUCAGACCAGCUACGGAUCGUCGCCUUGGUGAGCCGUUACCUCACCAACCAGCUAAUCCGACAUAGGCUCAUCCGAUAGCGCGAGGCCCGAAGGUCCCCCGCUUUCCCCCGUAGGGCGUAUGCGGUAUUAGCCUGGGUUUCCCCAGGUUAUCCCCCACUACCGGGCAGAUUCCUAUGCAUUACUCACCCGUCCGCCGCUCGCCACCAGGGACGCAAGCUCCCCGUGCUGCCGCUCGACUUGCAUGUGUUAGGUCGUCGCCGCCACGCGUUACACUACUACGAACCGAACGAUACAACUUACUACGA
Molecule: ribosomal RNA, 521 nt
Filed under: uncultured bacterium
Lineage: Bacteria
Description: partial 16S ribosomal RNA
Source: RNAcentral